Molecule: ribosomal RNA, 338 nt
Filed under: Salmonella enterica
Lineage: Bacteria; Pseudomonadati; Pseudomonadota; Gammaproteobacteria; Enterobacterales; Enterobacteriaceae
Description: bacterial SSU rRNA
Rfam family: Bacterial small subunit ribosomal RNA
Source: RNAcentral
GAGUAAUGUCUGGGAAACUGCCUGAUGGAGGGGGAUAACUACUGGAAACGGUGGCUAAUACCGCAUAACGUCGCAAGACCAAAGAGGGGGACCUUCGGGCCUCUUGCCAUCAGAUGUGCCCAGAUGGGAUUAGCUUGUUGGUGAGGUAACGGCUCACCAAGGCGACGAUCCCUAGCUGGUCUGAGAGGAUGACCAGCCACACUGGAACUGAGACACGGUCCAGACUCCUACGGGAGGCAGCAGUGGGGAAUAUUGCACAAUGGGCGCAAGCCUGAUGCAGCCAUGCCGCGUGUAUGAAGAAGGCCUUCGGGUUGUAAAGUACUUUCAGCGGGGAGGAA